Molecule: ribosomal RNA, 258 nt
Filed under: Triticum aestivum (bread wheat)
Lineage: Eukaryota; Viridiplantae; Streptophyta; Magnoliopsida; Poales; Poaceae
Description: partial small subunit ribosomal RNA
Source: RNAcentral
AUGGCUUCAUCUCUGAAGGUGGCCGCUGCCCUCGCCAUGGCCGUUUGCGUCGUGCUUGUGCUGAACAUGGGCCAGCCUGUGGAAGCCACAGAAUGCAAAGAUUGUCUCGCUGACUGUGUUGAAGUUUGCGUCAACUACUCUGACACUGCGUGCAGCGGCAUCUGCACCGCCAAACCUCCUGCAUGCCAGUCAUGCAAGUACGCGUCCUUCCUUACGUGUGGUGGCACAUGCUACAGCGCCUGUGCCCAUUUCUGCUAA